This 266-nucleotide signal recognition particle RNA is filed under the name Thermoflavimicrobium dichotomicum. Its description in RNAcentral is "Bacterial large signal recognition particle RNA". It matches the Rfam family "Bacterial large signal recognition particle RNA". From Rfam's summary of the family: The signal recognition particle (SRP) is a universally conserved ribonucleoprotein involved in the co-translational targeting of proteins to membranes. Archaeal SRP consists of a 7S RNA and homologues of the eukaryotic SRP19 and SRP54 proteins. In most bacteria, the SRP consists of a 4.5S RNA and the Ffh protein (a homologue of the eukaryotic SRP54 protein). Lineage: Bacteria; Bacillati; Bacillota; Bacilli; Caryophanales; Thermoactinomycetaceae. The record is from Rfam by way of RNAcentral.
CCGCGCUAGACGGGGAGCUAGCCGUGCCCUGUAGCCCGCAAUCGGCUUAGCGGGGUCGAAUUCCUGCCUGAGGUCCUUUUUGUGUAAGGUCUGGUUUGCCUUGAAGGUGUUGAUGAUCGGGUCCUACGCAACGAGAGCUUUCGAACCGUGUCAGGUCCUGGCGGAAGCAGCACUAAGGAAGAUUUCUCGUGUGCCGUAGGGGUGCCUGGUUUGAGCUGGAUAGGCAAAGUCCGCUUGGGCAAAUUGGAUCGGAGGCAGGUGCGCGG